Nasonia vitripennis (jewel wasp) is the source of this 1476-nucleotide long non-coding RNA. RefSeq lists it as uncharacterized. The record is from RefSeq and is a predicted model, not a curated record. NCBI's taxonomy places the organism in Eukaryota, Metazoa, Arthropoda, Insecta, Hymenoptera, Pteromalidae. The transcript is spliced from 3 exons.
UUUAAUAAGGCAGUUUAGUAUUUUAGUAUUCAAACUCAUAAAGAUUGCUGUGCUGAGUCAACCUCUAAUAUUGUGUACUAGUAGUUGCGUUGGCAACGUACAAAAAUGAUGCUUUACACUAUUGAUGUGCGAAAUAUAAAACUAGUUAAUAGCAAUCAGACACAUUUUUUAAGAGGUCUAAUCUGGUUUGAAACUGUAAAACGAAUCAUUUUUUUUUAAUUGCUUUUGCAAUAAGAAAUCACUUGUGUAACCUUACAAAAUAUUACAAACCUACAACCUGUUUUGCGAUUAAAAAUGUUUUAUCACAAAAUUAUAAACAAAAUUACUAGAACCAAGAAACCACAGCAAAUCUGCACAUAACACCAGUAUAGAUCUGUGUAUACUUGUAUUUAUAUGAGUAUACCAUAAUAUUUUUUUCGGAUUUAACCCAUGCUGGACCUCUAAUUAUUUUCUUGAUAAGCUUAAAUUAAAUACCAAGCAUAUAAAACUAUUUGGUAUAGGGUCAACUGAUUUUAAUACUGGAAGAAGACAGAGGCUUUUAUACAAAAAUUCAAAGAGAUAAAUGACUGCUGAAGUAUAAAAAAUAAAAUUCAUAUUAUAUAAAAUAUAAUCAAAGGGAAUUUUUAACUAAUCAAUAAUUACAAAUAAAUAUCUGCAACUACAACUGCAAUCAAAGUUGCAGCUUGGCAUGGACAUUUUCUGCAGAAGUUCUGAAUACUUUUUCUAGAAUUUUGUACUGUUCGUGUCGGCUUUUUGGUCACACUACCAGGUGCUCUCAAUCGGCUGAUAAUACAAAUAAAUUGGAACUUACACUUAUUACAUUUAUGACACGCUGUGGCAUAAACCUCGAUUUAAGUCACGCUCGUGCAAAAAUGCACUUGCUAAAUCUCGGUUUAUGCACGUUGUUUCAUAAAAUAUCGUACGAUACUCGCUUCGCUCAGGCGAUAUUGUCCCCACGAGGGUGAAACUACUUUAUCGCACUAGUAUCGUAAUAUACUAUUUUGUUUAUAAUUUUUUCCCCUUUAAUAAUAUUUUGAUGAAUGAGGACGAAGUAUUCAAAUGAUGACAUCUUCUUUAUUAAAAACGAAACUAAAACUUAGAUUCUUGGUUCGAAUUGAGGAACAUAUCUGCUCUAAACAGCUUUCAGAACCAGACUAACAAAAACAAUAACAUUUGCGGGGUCGUUAAUCUCGUUCCUACGAGUCACUAUGUGCAAUUCUCAGCGUUCAAAUCGCGCAAGGACUGAGCUCAGUCACAAUAAUAUUAUCGUUAAUAGAAACUUCGUAAGUUUACUACACAUCUUUGGUGCUAUACUCCGAAAGCUAACAUCUGUACGGCGACUCUUGUUAUGUGUAAAGGCCAAUAGUUUUAUUCUCCGUAAGAUAUUACCAGGGAAUGCGUCUGUUUAUUAAUCGUAAUUUACAAUGAAUGAUUUGUUUAAGAGGAACAAACAAUAAAUGUGCUUGCGGAAGACCA